Molecule: unclassified non-coding RNA, 298 nt
Filed under: uncultured fungus
Lineage: Eukaryota; Fungi
Description: partial contains small subunit ribosomal RNA, internal transcribed spacer 1, and 5.8S ribosomal RNA
Rfam family: Eukaryotic small subunit ribosomal RNA (bases 1-73)
Source: RNAcentral
GCAAACUUGGUCAUUUAGAGGAAGUAAAAGUCGUAACAAGGUUUCCGUAGGUGAACCUGCGGAAGGAUCAUUAAGAGUGCGGGCGCAUCCUGCCCGGUCCCACUUUGACCCCAACGUGAACACGUCCGAGUUGCUUCGGCGGGCCCGCGCCCCGCGCCCGGCUGCCCCACCGGCGGCUGGAGAGCCCGCCAGAAGACCGACCGAACCCGCGUCCUGGUGCCUGUCUGAAGCACAAAGCGAUAAGCUCAAAACUUUCAACAACGGAUCUCUUGGUUCUCGCAUCGAUGAAGAACGCAGC